UAAGUACAAAGAGCAAUCAUCUAUCUUCAACUACUCAUACGCAACAUACACGUCUUUAAUGGUUGGCAAUUUCAUACAACAAAGUGAGAUUUUUGAUAGCAAGACGUCUUGAUAACAAACAAAAGAAAAGACAAGCAGUUAAAGCUCAAAGUAUAACGUAGCUGAACAAUAAAAGUACAAAUGUUAUAUAUAUAAAAAAAGAAAAAAUACCUAUCUUUUAUUAGAAAUAUUGUAAACUUUGAAUCAAACAAAUUAAAUCUUCACAUUAAUAAAUAAUUUUUUUACAAUAAUAUCCAAGAUAAUAUAUUACAAAUACACGACUAAAGUCUUAUUACAAAAUGGAUUAUUGGACGGUCUCCGUUUUUGUUAACAUUGUCUGUUGAUAAGGUGACAGUGACGGUUUCUGCAAAUUUAGUUUGUGAUAACCCGUGUUUGGUGUUCUUGAAUUUGGAGACUGCCUUAAAGCCGAGGUAUUCGUUAGGGGCAAAGAUAGAUGAUAUGGGUUUGGUUCCUAGAGUGAAGGGUCCUUCAUUGUUAAGAGCAAUCAGGAUGACAAAAAAGCGGUUUAUCAAGGCCUUUAUAAGUUGCCAUCCAGAAGAUGUGGCUCUUGAAUUCAUGGAGUGCUAUAGAAGUGUUAAACGUGUUAGAAGGUUGGCAGAAUCAUCCAAGAAGCAAAUAUGCAAAGGAUUUCCCUUUUGAACAUAUGUUCCAAUCCAACAGAUACAUGAUUUCCCGUUAUCAUUUGAGUCUGUUUGUUAUUGAAUUCUUUCAUUUUUCAUCGACAAAAAGUACUUGAUUGGGAUGUUUGAUUGUUGGUUUAAAGUAUAGCCAAUACGAAUGACAUUCUGUUGUACAAUUAGAUGUAGGUUAAUUGUAGAUGAAUUGGAGUAUAGCUGAAAUUACCUUAGCUUGUUAAAUACUAGUAAGAUUAAUAAAGUUCAUAAGUCUCUGGAUUUGCUGAGUUUAUCCAUGUCUUUUCUUGCACUUUUGAGUACCCAGAGUAUAUAGAGUGGUUGGGAUCCGUUAACUUUAAGCUUUGCUUAUGGCGUAGAAGACUUGAAGCUCCUAUCUUUUCUGCAGCAUCAUUUUGAUGGAGUUCACUGGUAUUUAUAUAAUUACAGCUGUAGUUUCCUUUGAAAGGUGUCAACAACUUUAUUAGCUGGAGUUAUCAGCUCAUACCCGGACAAUCAAACAGGUAAUGGUAAUCCCUGAAGAAAAAUUAUUCACUUAAGUGUGCUUACUGUAAGUAUCAUACCUAAUAUUUUGUACUAAUAAAUAAGAUGAGACCUGGUUUUAGUAUAAAGUUAAUGUCAACUUAUAACUUGGCUAACCGGGCGGGACUGUAGUAUUGACUUCCAUAUCUCUGCUUUUGGGCGAUCUAGUAAAUCUGUGAAGAAAAUUACUGAAUUGGCUUAGACGCAUGCAAUUGCCACAGGCUACAGCUCAAUGGAUAUUGGAUUAAAAUCAAACACUGAUGAUACUUCUUAUCGUGAAAGUAACUUUGCUUUAUUCUAUUUGUUAGAUGAUUAACUCUAAUAUUUUGGGUGAUUAUGCUUGUAUGAGGAGUGCAGAGUGUUAGGGUUUUUGCCCUGAUUUUCUUACUAUAUUUAAGUUUUAUUUUUUCUUAGAAGGAAAAUAAAAGUUACCAUAAUUACUUUUAUUUUUUCUGAAAGAAAAAAAUAUAAUUCUUUUCCAUAUUUGGCUAAACUCUUUGUCCACAAUAACCUCUAAAUCAGAAUACAAAAUUAGGUCGAGACAUGCCCCGACCAUGAAAAUAGAACUCUUUAAUUCCCAAAA
This is a long non-coding RNA of Capsicum annuum, 1797 nucleotides long. RefSeq lists it as uncharacterized. The record is from RefSeq and is a predicted model, not a curated record. The transcript has 2 exons. NCBI's taxonomy places the organism in Eukaryota, Viridiplantae, Streptophyta, Magnoliopsida, Solanales, Solanaceae.